ACUCCUACGGGAGGCAGCAGUGGGGAAUAUUGCACAAUGGGCGCAAGCCUGAUGCAGCAAUGCCGCGUGUGUGAAGAAGGCCUGCGGGUUGUAGAGCACUUUUAUUGGGAAAGAAAAAACCGGAGCUAAUAUCUCCGGCAUUGACGGUACCCAAGGAAUAAGCACCGGCUAACUCAGUGCCAGCAGCCGCGGUAAUA
RNAcentral lists this ribosomal RNA (197 nucleotides) under uncultured bacterium. RNAcentral describes it as "partial 16S ribosomal RNA". It matches the Rfam family "Bacterial small subunit ribosomal RNA", at positions 335 to 525 of the family's 1533-position model. The record is from RNAcentral.